GUCUGGUCUAACACAGGUGUCAGUAACAUCACUAACGACUUCCUACUGGGACGCUGCAGUGACGCACAGCCCUGAUCGGCGUUAUUAGUUCCACCUGUGCAGGUCACAACGCCUGCUGUGAGAUCUGCUUUUUACAUCACUAAGAUUCUUGUCAAGCAAACUGUGCGCUCAAUACAGGCCUUGCAGGGUUCAUGCAGAGUGACACCGCCAGGCACCACCGUGCUGUCAUACCGACUGUCCUGGAGGAGGCGCUGAAGCCUGCAGACAUCGACUGUGUGUCUUACACCAACGGGUCUCCGGGGGCCCAGGGAGGUUCUGGGGCCGGUCCUUACAGCAGAGCGCUCUAA
This 347-nucleotide long non-coding RNA is filed under the name Cottoperca gobio. RNAcentral's name for it is "lncRNA (ENSCGOG00000006440.1)". Lineage: Eukaryota; Metazoa; Chordata; Actinopteri; Perciformes; Bovichtidae. The record is from RNAcentral.